AUGAAACCUGCCUCCGGACUCUCUCGUGAUUUCACUUGUUUAAAUAAUAGAAGCAUGCGUCUGCAGGCCGCUGCCUCCCAAGUGCUGGGAUUAAAGGCGUGCACCAUCCCCACCGGCCAGAAAACUGCCUUUAAGUGAGCAUAACUGUUAUGAAAUCGAGCAUACACUUGCUGACUCACACAGUGAAGAGAUGGGUGUUGCCAUUGUCACAUAAUGGUGUUUAUGUCAUGCUCUACUCUGAGCCCACUCUGCAAAUGUGUCUUCUACAGGGGUCCGGUGUUCCCAACUGUAGCCAUGUUCCUUUCUUGUUUUCUUGCCUACACAACAACCUUUCUCCCAGCUGUCUCCAAUGCUGACCUAGGGUAAUGUUGCCACAUGGGCUUGGCUCAGGGGGAGGUACAGCAGAGGACCACACACAGUGCACAGGCACACAGAUACUAUACAGCGUAUUUUGGGUGGAAAUAAGGCACUUAGAGUCCUCCAAAAGCUAAUUGUUUUCUGUGAUGAACUGGUCACUCAGAUCAAAGAAGACUGGCCAGUCUGGCUCUUGGAUAGUUCACUGUCAAACUGCUUGUCCAAAGGGAAGACCAAUUUUGAUUGUUCUUGUCAUUUUUGCUCCUCACCUCUCCUCUUUGCUCUUUGAUCUGGCAUAUAAGGUGUUUGCUAUAAACAAAGAGACCAAUACUCCCCCUUCCCAACAGUUGGUGGGCACCCAGAAAACUCUACAGUGUUCUUGACAGAAAGUAUGUGGGCUCUGUGAAUGAAAAUUCUCCUGUCUGAGAUACUCCAGUCACUGUGCUUUUCUUGCCCUUUGAAAACAUGCAGUGUCUCAGGGAAUUUGUGUUCAAUGAGAAAACGAGAGACCAAAAAUUAAAAUUAAUAAAAGUUUAAAGACUUGGGUCUGCUGAACCUACACAGAGAAAAAAGGGAAUUUCUGAUGGUAGAAAGAUUUUGACCCUCUAACUGGGAGCACAUGACUAGGAGCCUGAGCCCAACUCUCAGAGAAAGAGUUAGCUCACCACCAUCUGUGUCAUUAUUCCUUUGUCCUAGAGAAAACCAGAUAACCGCUAAUUUCCGGUUGUAAAAAAAUCCCCUGGCCCAGGGGAUAAUUGGCAAACUCAUGACCCCAGGCUCCUGCCCUAUUAUGCUCAAAUGUGUCUUGCUAAAAUAUAUUGUUUUUGCUUUACUUUGUACUUUGUAAUGACCUUGAGUAAUCAUGGAAACUUUGUAAUUUGUGGCUUUCAGCCUUAUGGUCUUUUCCUUUAAAAGCUACCCUUAAUUGCUGGUUGGGGUUACACUUCCUC
RNAcentral lists this long non-coding RNA (1304 nucleotides) under Cricetulus griseus (Chinese hamster). RNAcentral describes it as "lncRNA (ENSCGRG00015032931.1)". The record is from RNAcentral. Lineage: Eukaryota; Metazoa; Chordata; Mammalia; Rodentia; Cricetidae.